UACGGAGGGUGCGAGCGUUAAUCGGAAUUACUGGGCGUAAAGGGUGCGUAGGUGGUUUUAUAAGUUAUCUGUGAAAUUCCUGGGCUUAACCUGGGCAUGUCAGAUAAGACUGUAGGACUGGAGUAUAGGAGAGGGCAGUGGAAUUUCCGGUGUAGCGGUGAAAUGCGUAGAUAUCGGAAGGAACACCAGUGGCGAAGGCGGCUGCCUGGCCUGAUACUGACACUGAGGCACGAAAGCGUGGGGAGCAAACAGGAUUAGAUACCCUGGUAGUCCACGCUGUAAACGAUGUCAACUAGCUGUUGGUCAUAUGAAAAUGAUUAGUGGCGUAGCUAACGCGAUAAGUUGACCGCCUGGGGAGUACGGUCGCAAGAUUAAA
This 376-nucleotide ribosomal RNA is filed under the name uncultured bacterium. RNAcentral's name for it is "bacterial SSU rRNA". It matches the Rfam family "Bacterial small subunit ribosomal RNA", at positions 524 to 898 of the family's 1533-position model. The record is from RNAcentral.